Molecule: ribosomal RNA, 722 nt
Filed under: uncultured Fusobacterium sp.
Lineage: Bacteria; Fusobacteriati; Fusobacteriota; Fusobacteriia; Fusobacteriales; Fusobacteriaceae
Description: bacterial SSU rRNA
Rfam family: Bacterial small subunit ribosomal RNA
Source: RNAcentral
GAUGAACGCUGACAGAAUGCUUAACACAUGCAAGUCAACUUGAACUUUGGUUUGGGUGGCGGACGGGUGAGUAACGCGUAAAGAACUUGCCUCACAGCUAGGGACAACAUUUGGAAACGAAUGCUAAUACCUGAUAUUAUGAUUAUAUGGCAUCGUAUAAUUAUGAAAGCUAAAUGCACUGUGAGAGAGCUUUGCGUCCCAUUAGCUAGUUGGAGAGGUAACGGCUCACCAAGGCGAUGAUGGGUAGCCGGCCUGAGAGGGUGAACGGCCACAAGGGGACUGAGACACGGCCCUUACUCCUACGGGAGGCAGCAGUGGGGAAUAUUGGACAAUGGACCGAGAGUCUGAUCCAGCAAUUCUGUGUGCACGAUGAAGUUUUUCGGAAUGUAAAGUGCUUUCAGUUGGGAAGAAAAAAAUGACGGUACCAACAGAAGAAGUGACGGCUAAAUACGUGCCAGCAGCCGCGGUAAUACGUAUGUCACGAGCGUUAUCCGGAUUUAUUGGGCGUAAAGCGCGUCUAGGUGGUUAUGUAAGUCUGAUGUGAAAAUGCAGGGCUCAACUCUGUAUUGCGUUGGAAACUGUAUAACUAGAGUACUGGAGAGGUAAGCGGAACUACAAGUGUAGAGGUGAAAUUCGUAGAUAUUUGUAGGAAUGCCGAUGGGGAAGCCAGCUUACUGGACAGAUACUGACGCUGAAGCGCGAAAGCGUGGGUAGCAAACAGG